UCUGCCCUAGAGGCAUUGCAGGUGCAGCUGCUGUGUCACAUGUGCAUCCUGAGGUGACAGAGAGGAGAGAGGCUAUGUGUCUAUGCUCAGUGUUUUGACCUGCGAACAUCUGAAUGAUUAGCAGCUCAAAAUU
Mastomys coucha (southern multimammate mouse) is the source of this 133-nucleotide small nucleolar RNA. RefSeq annotates it as small nucleolar RNA SNORA17. The record is from RefSeq and is a predicted model, not a curated record. The transcript has a single exon. Lineage: Eukaryota; Metazoa; Chordata; Mammalia; Rodentia; Muridae.